Gorilla gorilla gorilla (western lowland gorilla) is the source of this 454-nucleotide long non-coding RNA. RefSeq lists it as uncharacterized. The transcript is spliced from 3 exons. The record is from RefSeq and is a predicted model, not a curated record. Lineage: Eukaryota; Metazoa; Chordata; Mammalia; Primates; Hominidae.
GGACACCCACAGAGCUGGUCAGUCAAGAAUGAAACCUAUGCACCAAACUGAGAAAAGCUGUUGAUAGAGGAAUUUUAAAGAAGGAAUAGGGAGAGGACUACUUCUCUGUUUUUAGCUGGAAGUUCUCUCUAUCAUGUACAAAUGCUUCUGAUCACUACUUACAGCAUGUCCAGCAAUGACGCCUUGAAAAUGGGAGAUUAUUGUAUGACAAGAAGUCCUAUGCAAGAGGAUUUUCUGGUUAUAACAACUGCUCUAUCAUGCAUCAAGGACAUAGGUUAUAUAUGUCUUUUCUGUCCUUCAUUCUCAAUGGAGUCUCAUUCCAUGGCCCAGGCUGGAAUGCAAUGGCACAAUCUCGGCUCACUGUAGCCUCCACCUCCCGAGUUCAAGUGAUUCCCCUGCCUCAGGCUCCUGAGUAGCUGGGAUUACAGGCCAAUACUCGGACCUUCCUGCCAGC